This 608-nucleotide ribosomal RNA is filed under the name uncultured bacterium. RNAcentral describes it as "bacterial SSU rRNA". It matches the Rfam family "Bacterial small subunit ribosomal RNA", at positions 8 to 610 of the family's 1533-position model. The record is from RNAcentral.
AGGGUUUGAUCAUGGCUCAGAUUGAACGCUGGCGGUAGGCUUAACACAUGCAAGUCGUGCGAGAAAGUAUCUUCGGAUAUGAGUAGAGCGGCGGACGGGUGAGUAACGCGUAGGAAUCUACCUAGUAGAAGGGGAUAGCCCGAGGAAACUCGGAUUAAUACCGUAUACCUCCUUAGGGAGAAAGAGGGCCUCUCUUGAUGCUCUCGCUAUUAGAUGAGCCUGCGUAAGAUUAGCUUGUUGGUGAGGUAAUGGCUCACCAAGGCUACGAUCUUUAGCUGGUCUGAGAGGACGAUCAGCCACAUUGGGACUGAGACACGGCCCAGACUCCUACGGGAGGCAGCAGUGGGGAAUAUUGGACAAUGGGCCGCAAGCCUGAUCCAGCCAUACCGCGUGUGUGAAGAAGGCCUUCGGGUUGUAAAGCACUUUAAGCAGGGAGAAAAAGUUAUAAGUUAAUACCUUAUAACCGUGAUGUUACCUGCAGAAUAAGCACCGGCUAAUUCCGUGCCAGCAGCCGCGGUAAUACGGAAGGUGCAAGCGUUAAUCUCGGAAUUACUGGGCGUAAAGCGCGCGUAGGUGGUUUGUUAAGUUGGAUGUGAAAGCCUGGGCUC